GAUGAACGCUGGCGGCGUGCCUAAUACAUGCAAGUCGAGCGAACAGAUAAGGAGCUUGCUCCUUUGACGUUAGCGGCGGACGGGUGAGUAACACGUGGGUAACCUACCUAUAAGACUGGGAUAACUUCGGGAAACCGGAGCUAAUACCGGAUAACAUUUGGAACCGCAUGGUUCUAAAGUGAAAGAUGGUUUUGCUAUCACUUAUAGAUGGACCCGCGCCGUAUUAGCUAGUUGGUAAGGUAACGGCUUACCAAGGCAACGAUACGUAGCCGACCUGAGAGGGUGAUCGGCCACACUGGAACUGAGACACGGUCCAGACUCCUACGGGAGGCAGCAGUAGGGAAUCUUCCGCAAUGGGCGAAAGCCUGACGGAGCAACGCCGCGUGAGUGAUGAAGGGUUUCGGCUCGUAAAACCCUGUUAUUAGGGAAGAACAAAUGUGUAAGUAACUGUGCACGUCUUGACGGUACCUAAUCAGAAAGCCACGGCUAACUACGUG
This 497-nucleotide ribosomal RNA is filed under the name uncultured bacterium. RNAcentral's name for it is "partial 16S ribosomal RNA". It matches the Rfam family "Bacterial small subunit ribosomal RNA", at positions 28 to 507 of the family's 1533-position model. The record is from RNAcentral.